UUUCAGCUAUGGUUUUGAAAAAAAGAAAAGGGGAAAGGGUCUUGAUGCUCUGGGCAGGGACGAUUUCCGGCGAUCGGACCACCGUCCGUCCGUAAUCGGCGACCGCUGUAUACGGCGACCGCUGUAUACGGCGGCUGGAAGCGCAAAAUCGACCCCUUUUUAACCCUUUUGUUCCCCUUACCCUAGAUCCAUAGUUGAAGCGCCCAAAAACCUCACGAAAACCGACGAAAAUCAAGAGAAACUUCUCGGUUCUACUCUCCGAUCGCCCCAAACAAGGUAAGAUUUGAUGUCUUUUGUUUAUUUAUCUAAGGAUAAUAGUAAUAAAGAGGAAAAGGAACAAAGAAAUCACCUUUCUAUUAUUCGAUUGCUUCUCAAUAUUCGUUUGUUUUUGUAUUGAUUUGUUUUUUUUUGAAUAUUCGAAAAAGAUCAUCCCUUUUUUUUACAAUAGUUUCCAUUCGGCUUUUUAUAGCCCAUUUGUUACACUGUCUAUUUCCCUAUAUUUUGCUGCUGUUGCGUAUUCUGUUUGUUGUGCAGGUGGUGGUUGAACGGUGGAGCAGAGGCUGGUUGGGGGUUGACAGAGAUGAUGGGACAGAGGCGGCGGCUAGGGUUCUUUUUUCUGUUAAUGUUUUGGGCUGAUGUUAGUGGGUUAGGGUUUGUUUAAUUUGGGCUGGUAGUUUAGGUUUUAUUUUGUUUUGGGUUAAAGGUUGUUGGGCCACUCGGGUUUGAUUGUAAACAGGCUAAAAUUGGCCUACAACAACAAGUGUUUUUUUUUUGGAAUAUUAAUCUAAUUAUAGGUUCUUAUCAUAUCUGUUCUCUUUUAUCAAUACCUACAACUAUUCAUAAUCCUAUUCCAACCCUAAAUAGG
Molecule: long non-coding RNA, 865 nt
Filed under: Gossypium barbadense (sea-island cotton)
Lineage: Eukaryota; Viridiplantae; Streptophyta; Magnoliopsida; Malvales; Malvaceae
Description: long non-coding RNA (GBAR_LNC006716)
Source: RNAcentral